AUUGAACGCUGGCGGCAGGCCUAACACAUGCAAGUCGAGCGGAUGAAGGGAGCUUGCUCCUGGAUUCAGCGGCGGACGGGUGAGUAAUGCCUAGGAAUCUGCCUGGUAGUGGGGGAUAACGUCCGGAAACGGGCGCUAAUACCGCAUACGUCCUGAGGGAGAAAGUGGGGGAUCUUCGGACCUCACGCUAUCAGAUGAGCCUAGGUCGGAUUAGCUAGUUGGUGGGGUAAAGGCCUACCAAGGCGACGAUCCGUAACUGGUCUGAGAGGAUGAUCAGUCACACUGGGACUGAGACACGGUCCAGACUCCCACGGGAGGCAGCAGUGGGGAAUAUUGGACAAUGGGCGAAAGCCUGAUCCAGCCAUGCCGCGUGUGUGAAGAAGGUCUUCGGAUUGUAAAGCACUUUAAGUUGGGAGGAAGGGCAGUAAGUUAAUACCUUGCUGUUUUGACGUUACCAACAGAAUAAGCACCGGCUAACUUCGUG
Molecule: ribosomal RNA, 484 nt
Filed under: uncultured bacterium
Lineage: Bacteria
Description: partial 16S ribosomal RNA
Rfam family: Bacterial small subunit ribosomal RNA
Source: RNAcentral